Molecule: long non-coding RNA, 644 nt
Filed under: Pan troglodytes (chimpanzee)
Lineage: Eukaryota; Metazoa; Chordata; Mammalia; Primates; Hominidae
Description: long non-coding RNA NONPTRT009792
Source: RNAcentral
CAGGUGACUCCGGCAAUGGCGCGGGGGCGGAGGAUGCGGGCGGCCGGGCGUGGCACGACUCGCCCAGGCUGCGCUUCCCGACCCGGCCCCGGAGCGAUGGGUCCGCUAGGGCUCGGCGCCGUGAUUUGGCGGGGACCGGGGCAAAGCACCCAGUACUAACGACUCAGCGGGUCCCACUCGCCAAGAGUCGAUUUUCGUCCUCACCACAGACUUGGGAGGGAGGUCUUAUUUUGCUAAUGAGAAAACGGAGGCUCAGAGGGGUGAGCCGAUUUGCCCGAGGUCACACAGGAAGAGGCGGAAUUCCUAGCGAGUGUGGGCGUGCACCCGUUGCUCAGGUUCCCAGAACGCUGGGCCGUUUGUUAGAUGCUCUUUUCCUGCAGGUGAGUAGGGACCGUGGUGGAAUUGGUUGCUAAAUACACUAGGAAGUUCGUGUGGCACGGGGAUUCCAGCCUAGUGUUACCUUAAGCAAGGUACCUCUCGGUGCUCAAUUUCACUCUCUGUAAAAUGGGGUAAUGCUGUUACUUCAUGAGGUUGCUGGAAGGAUUAAGUGUUAAUUCAAGUAAGGCACCUAGGACAACCUCUUUAUCCCUCAUUAGCUAUCCUUAGGCAAGGAGGCAGGGAAGCUUGGAAUAAUUGGCAUUUCA